AGAAUCAACGCUGGCGGCGUGCCUAACACAUGCAAGUCGCACGAGAAAGGGUAGCAAUACCUGAGUAAAGUGGCGCACGGGUGAGUAACACGUGAAUGAUCUACCUCCGAGUGGGGAAUAACUGAGAGAAAUCUUAGCUAAUACCGCAUAACACUUACGAGUCAAAGCAGCAAUGCGCUUGGAGAGGAGUUCGCGGCCGAUUAGUUAGUUGGCGGGGUAAUGGCCCACCAAGACGAUGAUCGGUAUCCGGCCUGAGAGGGCGCACGGACACACUGGAACUGAAACACGGUCCAGACUCCUACGGGAGGCAGCAGUGGGGAAUUUUGCGCAAUGGGGGAAACCCUGACGCAGCAACGCCGCGUGGAGGAUGAAGUCCUUCGGGACGUAAACUCCUUUCGAUCGGGACGAUUAUGACGGUACCGGAAGAAGAAGCCCGGCUAACUUCGCGCCAGCAGCCGC
Molecule: ribosomal RNA, 459 nt
Filed under: uncultured bacterium
Lineage: Bacteria
Description: SSU rRNA
Rfam family: Bacterial small subunit ribosomal RNA
Source: RNAcentral